UACGUAGGGGGCGAGCGUUGUCCGGAUUUAUUGGGCGUAAAGAGCGUGUAGGCGGCCAGGUAGGUCUGCUGUGAAAACUCGAGGCUCAACCUCGAGACGUCGGCGGAAACCAUCUGGCUAGAGUCCGGAAGAGGAGAGUGGAAUUCCUGGUGUAGCGGUGAAAUGCGCAGAUAUCAGGAGGAAUACCGGUGGCGAAGGCGGCAUCCUGGACCGACAUUGACGCUGAGGAGCGAAAGCUAGGGGAGCAAACGGG
Molecule: ribosomal RNA, 253 nt
Filed under: uncultured bacterium
Lineage: Bacteria
Description: partial 16S ribosomal RNA
Rfam family: Bacterial small subunit ribosomal RNA
Source: RNAcentral